Molecule: unclassified non-coding RNA, 133 nt
Filed under: soil metagenome
Description: partial internal transcribed spacer 1
Source: RNAcentral
CUGGGUGGCUUCGGCCUAAACCCCCUAACCAUUGUGAACGAUACCAGUUGCUUAGCCGGUGGCGGUGAAAACUGCAGUACCGGCGGCACAAAACUCUUCUAAUGUCAUCUCUGAGUUACUUUUAAAUAAGUCA